This 16496-nucleotide long non-coding RNA is filed under the name Brassica napus (rape). RNAcentral's name for it is "long non-coding RNA (BNAP_LNC014556)". The record is from RNAcentral. Lineage: Eukaryota; Viridiplantae; Streptophyta; Magnoliopsida; Brassicales; Brassicaceae.
CCAAGAUCUCUAUGGCCUCAAAGCAUCGUCCAAGCCGAUGAAGACAUUAGUAGAGCGGCGUUGUGUAUACCAUUUUUACGAUGUGUUAUCCGUUCCCUGGGAACUCAAUAUGCCUUCUUCGUUAUUGAAAUCUUGCUACGCUGAGGGAAAUCCAAGGACACUUUAUAUAAAGGGUGUACAAUUGUUCUUCUGAUUCUGCCUUAAAGAAGAAGGGCUUUCUCUCAUGAAGCGUGCAGCAGAUGAAGGAUAUAAGCGUGUUGUGUAUACACACGCAAUGACUCGAGCAAUCUUUUGGUGUGUUGGGCAGUAUUUUGUUGGUAUUCCAAGAGAAUCAGUUCAGAGGAUAGGGAAACUAGUGCGAUCUGUGAAAUGGGGAAGGGGUUUGUGGCAUUCUGACGAGUUCCGCCAAAAUAGGACCCCUUUCAUUUCAGCUUAUCUUUCGUCGUUCUACAGUUGCCAAUGUGCAACACAUGUAGAGCGACAAUGUCUCUGCUUGUGGCACAUUGAUCUGACUAAGGAUGACAACAUGUGUGAGCGCUGUUUCUGGAUCAAAGAGAUUGGCAUGUUCUUACGUGAUUUUGAACUGAUAAGCCUUAUUAUGGGCACAAGGAAGUGGUGAAGAUGUAAAAUCUAUCGGAAUCUUAUAUUUUUUAUGUUCUUUGCUAUGCCAUUAUGUAUGUAUGACAACAUAUUAAUGUAAUGAAGGCUUAGUUAUUGUUUCUUUUGACUGAGUUAUAGUUUAAUUACGACUGCGUUACUGUUUUAUGAUGGCUGAGUUAUUGUUUUCAAGCACACACAUCAUGCAAACAUCAACAAACAUCAUGCAGAGUUAUUAAUAGCGUUAUUAAUUAUGGCUGAGUUAUGAUUUUAUGACGGCUAAUUUAUUGUUUCUUUUGGCUGAUUUAGAGUUGAAUUAUGACUCGAUUUAUGUUUAAUUACGGCUGAAUUAUCAUUGGUUUAAUUUGGCUGAGUUUUGGUCACAUAAUAUGAAGUCAUAUUAGCAUUAAACACUAAUUAAAAUCGGUAUUGCAUCAGAUUUCUUAAUUUACGUACAGACAUGUAAAACAUCAAUUAAAAACGAAUGGAGAGAGUAAUAAUUAGCCUUGAUAUUCUCAUAUCGUUGGCGGAGUUAAAGUAUAAAUCGUCUUGAUAUUAUAAAGAUCUCGAUAUUUUCCACACGCGCCACCAUUAAUCGACAACUCAGUCCAAUCAAGCAAGUGGAAACAUCCCAUUAAUAAUGAAAGUGGGUGAGUGAUAAUCUACGUUGAGACUGAGUUAUAUUAACAUUCACAGCUGAGUUUUGGCUAUGUUUAUUAUGGCUGAAUUAUCAUUAGUUUAAUUACGGCUGUGUUUCGGUCACUUAUGGCUGGGUUUAUGUUUAAUUGAUGGGGAGUUAUCAUUAGUUUACUUCACAGCUGAGUUACUUUAAUACGUUAAGUCUGAGUUACAUAAAAAAUAUGCUGACUUAUAUGUACAAAACAUUACUAAACAAAGAAAUAGUUGUAGCAAAGUAACGACAUUCCAACCCCACAAACAACCACAUUCCUCAAACACCGACCCUGACUCAUACAUUUUUCUCCUUUUCCCUCAGACUCCGUCUUCAUUACUUCAAUCUCUUUCUCUAAUCGAGCAACGUUAAGUCUGAAUUCCGAGAUGUCUUUGUUCAUGCCACUUAUCAGUGACUUAAUAUCCUCAACCUCUUCAACCAAAGACUCAUCCUACCAUUUGAAUAAAUGUCUCUGUUUUCACCAAUAUAACCAUAUCUAAGUAUUACGUUACAUAACAUGUGAAAUAAGAACCAAAACGAACCUUAUUAUAUCCUUUUCCGCAGCAAUAGUACAAUCUUCCUGGAUUUGUAGCGGUUCCAGAUGUAGAAAUGUAACAGGGUUCACCACACCAACAUCGUUUCGGCAUUCCUCUUUCCGCAUUCAAACGUCGUCUGUAAGAAUUUUCUGAAACACAGGAUGAAGAUGACAUUUUGAUUCUCAAAACAAUUUCAGAAACAAAAUAGAAUUAAAUGGAAUUAGGGUAAGUAAGAAGAAGACAUGAUGAAAUGGCGAUGUUUACUUUUUUUCCUUUUUAAGUAAUAUGUAUAUAAUAUUUAAAUGUCUUGAUAUUGUAAAUCCCUCGAUACAUGCGUGGCAGCCGUGUAUUUCAAACUCUUAAUAAUUAGCCUCGUUAUUAGGUUUGAGCAGUAUUUUCCACACACGCCAUAAUUAAUCGACAACUCAGUCCAAUCAAGCAAGUGGAAACGUCCCAUUAGAAAUGUUUUGUAUUAACAUUCACAGCUGAGUUUUGGCUAUGUUUUAUAAUGGCUGAAUUAUUAUUAGUUUAAUUACGGUUGAGUAAUUGUUACUUUAAGGCUGGGUUUAUGUUUAAUAUGGCUGAAUUAUUAUGUUUAAUUAACAUUCACAACUGAGUUACCUUAUACGUUUUGGCUGAGUUAACUUAAAGUUGUCUUUGAGUUAACAUUCACAACUGAGUUACUUUAUAAGUUAUGGCUGAGUUAUUCUAACAGAAGAAUAUUUUCAUUAUGGCUGAGUUAUAAUACUUAAUAUAAAAGAAAUACGAAUCGACAUGUUUACAUUCAGGAACCAAAAUUAUCAGGUUCAAAAUACAGACAAGACAUCACUUUCAGAAACCAAAAUUGUCAGGACCAAACUCUUCAAACAUGUGGACGAGAUCACGCCAAACUCUUGUUAACAUCCACGGAGGCUUGUCGCCUCCGUUUUCCCAAGUUCUCUUCAAAUGGCGCAUCUGGCAACGAAAUAGCGUUCUGGACACAAGAUUAAAAUGUGUCCAAACUGUCAAAUUAUGCCUUCGAUCCCACGUGUUUUUGCGCUACAAUAAAAAGAUUACAAAACUGUUGAAAACAAAAAACAAAAAAUAACUCAGCAACGUUAUGCUGCCGUUUUAAGUGGACAAACUGUUCUUACAGUGAGUUGAAGAAACUAGCGUUCCUUAAAAUGAUUGGGAAUGGCGCGGUAUGUCGGUCAAUCAUGAACCCAUCCUUCUGCAAGAAUCGACGGGAUGGCGAGGGAGAGAUCAUUUAAAAUUUUGAACCAGAUAGUACUGGUUGUGUCAAGCAAUUCACCCGGACCAGGGUAUGGAAGAGUGAGGUUUUCACGAUUUGCAGAGCUUAGUAUCGCAUUGAAACUGUCCUCUAAUAUCGUUGAAUAACCACGAACAAUCGGCACAACUUUUGAUGGGGAUAGAGAGAUACUGUUUAGGUUUUUUCUAGAGAGAGAAAUGUGUAAGAGAGGAGACAAUAUAUAGAGAGGUACGGAACAUCAAACGUCUCGAGUUAAAAUUUCCCAAGAAUCAGUUAUCUUUUUUUCCCCCAAACGUCCAAAUUAAAUUGCACUUUACGGCUGAGUUACUUUAACAUUUACAGCUGACUUAAUAAUUAGGGUUUAGGGUUUAGGGUUGCUUAUUUAGGGUUUAGGUUUGCUUUUUUGGGUUUAAAGGUUUAGGAUUUGGAUUUAUGGUGCAAGAAAUAUUAUAAAUAACACAAAUUCAUAAUAAAUAACACAAUAAUAGUUUAUGAGUUUUGAAGUAUGCUCACACCUUAUAUCUAUCAGUUAAGUUUAUGUGUAAUUGUAAGACAACAUAUACCUCAAGAUCAUGAUUGAUUCUAAACUCGUAAAUUCAAUAAAAAAGACACAUUCAGUUGAUUAUAUAUUCACUUCAAAUUUAUAAUUGGAGUUUCAAUUUAACAUUUUAAAGUAUAAACAUUUAAUUUUUUUUUGAUUCUAGGGUAUGAAUAUGUUUGAGGUAAGACUGAGUUAUACUAAUCGAUACAACUGAGUUAUAUAUACACUUUUCGAUUUUAGGGUAUGUUUUAGGUAAGGUUGAGUUACACAUAUACGACACAGCUGCAUUAUAAAAACGAUAAGACUGAGUCAAAUACAAAAUAACAAACACAGGUUCAAUUGGUCAGCAAACUGCUCAUCACAGAAUUUCCUCCUUCAUCGAGGAUCUAUGCUGCCAUCUUCAUCCGUAAACCUUGAAUAUUUUUAUCGUUCAUCCCAUCAAACGUUACACCAAGCGCUAGACACUCCACAAACUUCAACGAAUAUACCCCACAAUCGCCAACCUGGGUGUUUUGUGGAGUGUAUCUUUUGCUCCUCUUUCUUAAUGAGAACUUCUUCUUAUUAGGGGCUCGGAUAUUGGCAGGAAUAUGAUCACUCAACAUAUACGAAAUCAUGUGCAUCAGCAGUUUAAAUGAAUUUAGAAUUCUCUGCUCACUUUUGGGUGUUGCCUCUCCAAAAAUUGGAUCGUAACAAUCAAUCUUCUCCUUCUUCAAAUCCACAUGAUACGCAACCCAGUGAUUUCCGCCGGUUUGAAGACAUCCGUACAAGUGAUCCACAUCUUCAUACCACAUCAAAUUUGUUGGACAUUGAUUGGGAAGCUUACCCUUUAACAUAUCUUCAUAACCAUUUCUUUUGAAAUUGAACAUACUAGGUUUUAUCUUGAACUGAAUGAAAUCGUGAAUCAAAAAAUUUUGCCACCAAACGUCAACGAAGGCAAUCCGCUUGGACCAGAAUGGAGUGGGAUUUCGCAUGGACCUUUUAAUGAGGACGGUCAAAUACGCAACGACAUGCUACACAAAUAAUAUUAACAAUUCAGCCGUGAUAUAAUAAAAGAAUAUAUAAGUCAACCGUUAUAUAAUAUAUAACUCAGCCGUACUUAAAGAAUAUGUAAGUCAGCCGUAAUCAAAUAUAUAACUCAGCCGCAAUAUAAUAAAAUUAAUAUAUAACUUAGCCGCACUAAAUACUUACAUUAUCAAACACCUAUCCAUAUUCCUUUUCCGGCCACGUUCUUUCAUGGAUGAGUAUGCUCUAGAAGUCACCUUCAUGAUCAGCGGAGAGGACUGCUGGUUUAUCUGCUGGUGCUGGUGGUUUGGGUGGAAUUCUCUUAAUGUGUUGCAUCAGUUUUUUGAGUAAAAUUGGAUCAACAGGUGCUAGAGGGUCAUAUAUUACUGAUGCAGGAGUAACAUUCUACCUCAAGCAUGUCGUUCCAUUCUCUCCUAUGUACGGAAAAACUGCUGGUGAAGAAACUGCAGUGUCUUUUCUCCCGAUAUUCCUUAAUUACUGCAGAUCUAACCACUUCAGAUCUCUCGACGUCAGACUCCGGCGCGAAUUCGUUCUCUUCCCCAACAACUUCGUCACUCACAUCAGCAAAUACACUGUCCUUUCCAGAUUUUUGUACACCGGCACGCGGUGGAGUCACCUUUUUCUUCUUUGACUCAUCCUAUUUUUGCUUCUUUUGGUCAGCCUCUUAUUUCUUCUUUGCCUCACCCUCUUUUUUGGAUGCCUGAGCCUCCUUUUUCUUAGCCCGAGCCUCUUUUUUUCUUAGCCUCAGCCUUCUCCUUCCUCUUCAACGCAGCAUCUGCCUGCUCUGCUUUUUCUUAUCAGCGGCAUCCUCAUCAUUAACAGUAUGCUUGCCCCUGCAGGCGCGUCCAUAGGCUGGAACCUUAUCAUCCUUAGUAGCCUUUGCAGGAGUAACUACUAGGAAAUCAAGAUGUUGACUAUCAAGAUCAGUAGCUUUAGCGACACUACCAAACUCCUCAGCCAAAGUCCUUUUCACCCCUGAUUCCUUAUCAAGCUCCUUCGCCAAAUUCUUUUUCGGUCCAAAUACCUUACCAGGAGUCGCAGCUAACACUGGACUAUUGACAGAGUUCUGCUGCGUUUGAACCCGCAGUGAUGCCAACGAUAAAGAUUUAUCUGCUGAUGGUGGAGAGGGGUUAUCAUUGUUUUCGGGAAUUUUCCCAACUCCCAGAACUUUCAGACGCUCCUCCAGUAAAGCUUUCACCCUGUCAUCAAUGGUCUUUUGGUCCAUCAAUGGUCUGUUCCGGUCAAACUCGUAAGCUUCCAACCGUGAGUCAACUGAUCAAAUUUUCUGGAAAUAUUAUCCAGAGUACCAACAAUGGUCGUCAGAGUCGCUUUGUUCUCCAACUCCAAAUCUUUGCUACCUUCCUUCUCGCUAGAACCCUUUCCCGUUGCAGCAGCUUCAGACUCAUUAUGUGUCUUAACUUUCUUCUACUUCUUAGUGGGUGGCUCAGCUUCUGACGAAACUCCACCCUUCAUUUUCUUCUUCUUAUCAUUCCCCUUCCCUUGCGCAUUACCCUACGUAUUCCCCUGCACUUCCCAAAAACCUUUCACAAAUCUACCUUCAUGUAUGUCUGUUAUCAAGCUAACGAGUUGUGGGUCGUCAGGUUCACUCGACCUUUUAAAAAACAUCUCUUCAAUUGAGUUUUUUAAAAUCAUUCUCCUCACACGCACCUGCAACACUAGGUUAUAAUUAAACUCAGCCACCAAAAUAACACAUAACUCAGCCAUCAAAUAUAAUAAAUCAGCCAUCAAAUAUAAUAAAUCAGCCAUCAAAAAACUAAAAACUAAAAACUCAGCGUUAAACCUUACCUCGCCAUGCUCUUUGAUUUUGACAGCCAACAAGUUAUCAAGACUUGCACGUGUACGCUUUCCACCCCAUCGCAAAAGCGGAACGUCUUCAUUAUUCACCACCCUCCCAAAAUUCUCACCGAAGCAGGCGACAGAUUCAUACGCCCAAAUAAAUAACGCGAUGGUCAUGCCGCUUAUUGUGUAUGACCCUCCUUCUGGAGCCAACAUAUUAAUAUAGUCAAUGAGAACUUUAUAUGCAGUCUGACCCCAUGGGUACGACCCCAUGGCUUCAUCGUCGAAUACCCUUAUUGCACUUUCAAAAGGUAUCCUUGAAUUGUGAUGCAAACAAUAGACUCCCAUGGCUUGAAGAAGUAGCAGCCCCAACCACUUACGCUUUUCAGAAAUCCAAAGCGGACAGAACGCUAAUGCUUCCUUAUGUUCAUCUAACUUGGGUCCCAUCCCAAGCGGCACCUUCAACUCCUCCCAAAACUCUUUGUAUUGAUCAGCUUCAAACCUUUCUGUUGGCAAUGGAUCCGUAUUUAACCCGGUGAUCUCACCAAACUCGAGCAAGCUAAACCUGAUAGCCUCGUCAACCACGAGACACCAUAUCUCCUUCUUAUGUACUCGCAGAUGUCUACAUAGUAGAUAGUGUACGGUCCUACCAGACCAUAUGCUUUCGCGUCCAACUAGCCUAGCAACUACUCCAAUGGGAGAAUUCACCAGUUCUUCCCACACAUCAAGUCCAAUUGUUUCUCUAAUGUGAGAGAAAUUUCCUAGACGGAAAUUGUGAUUAAUUUUUUUUUUCCAGGUCAAAAGACCCUUCAGGGUAAAGUCUUGGAAGGUAAUCAUGUGAUUUAACUUCAUCAACAUCCAUCUGAUCAUAUAAUCUAACAAUAAAUCAGCCACAAGAAAACAAUAACACAUACGUACUAUAACAAUAACCCAGCCACAAAAUGUUUGAAUAACUCAGUCACAACAUAACUGUAACUCAGCCACAACAUAACAUUAACUUAGUCAUGACACAUCGAUAACUCAGCCAUAACAUAACCCUAACUCAGUCGCAACAAAACCCUAACCCAGACGCAACAAAACCCGCAACAAAACCAUAUCACAGCCGUAACAUAACCCUAUCUCAGUCGCUACAAAAUAUAAUAUAUACCGUCACGUUAUCCUAUCGGAAAAGACGAACCCGUAGAUAAGAAUGCGGCGAAGACGGUGGGGAAGACGAUUUCGUAUAAACAAUUGAAGACGACGAUUUCGGGCACGACGAUAACGGAGAAAACAGAGUUUCACGACAGAGAGGUAGUUCGAGGAAGAGGAAGUAAACACAAACAAUGUCGAUGACGAAGAGUGGGAGUAUCCUCGCGGUUCCUUCUUCGACGGUUCCUUCUUCGAGACGACAAAGACAAUAUUCUUAGUUAGUUUUUUUUUACUUCUAUGUAGUUAUGUUUGAGAAGAGACGGUUUGGUUUCUAUUCUGAUGAUGUGUAUAUUUAAUUACUGAUGUGGAUUUAAUGUUUAAAAAUAAUUUCAAUUAAAAUAACUAACUAAAAGCCUUUACAGUCAUUUCUUAUGGGUAGAAAAUUUUUUUAGUAAUUUUUAAAAGAUGUUUAACACUCUAAUAAUAAAACAAUUUUUGUUAAACAUUCUAAUAAUUUUCUCUUUAUUUAUUCCCAUCAUUGUUUGUAUGUUCCCAAGUUCAUAUUAACUUUUCAAUAGUUUCAAUAUUUAUUUUCUCGUUUUCCUUUUGAAAGUAUGUAUCCUUAUGUAGAUGUGAAUGCCUCCUUUGUAAAACAAGACCCAAUUUUGCAAUUAAAAGGGGACGCAGUUUCUCUCCCAAGAAAUCGAAUACCUGGGAAGGGGCCAUUGAUCUGAAUCUGGUGGUUGUAAAACCCUAAAGUAUACGUGUACAGAUUAAAAUAGUCUAGGCGAAUGUCUUCUUCACCGAAGUCUAGGCGAAUGUCUCUUCCCAUGCUUUGACGAAAAUACAAUAAGAGUUAGGUCACGGUUUUACCAGAGCCAUCGACUGUUCACCAAAAGUCCGCUUGGGAAAAUUCAAUGACGAUUUGUCAAAUUUGUAGACCACGGAGAGAUUGAAAAUAAAGUUGAAAUUCCAUGCUUGAAAAAAAUUAUAUCUUUCAAGACUCAGAGGUUUUCAUUUUAAGACAUUCAAAUUAACACAAUUAUAGGAAAGAACAAAAUGAUCAACUUAUUAGUAUCCUUCUGGUUUGUGCUCAUAAGCAGCAGUGCCUACGCAAAUACUUGCCUUAACAGAUCUGGUUUCUUCGCACCCGAUGGUACUUACGACUUAAACCGCCGAGUCAUGCUCUCUACUCUUCCUUCUAACGUCACAGCUAAUGAUGGCUUCUAUACAACGUCGACCGGACAAGAUCCCAACAGAGUAUACGGUUUAGGGAUGUGUGUACCAGGUAUUGAAGCAGGAUCUUGUUCUGAUUGUAUCAUGGCUGCCUCUAAUGGGUUGGUACAGAAUUGUACUACUCAGAUAGAAGCUAUAGACUGGAGGAUGUAUAGAAAUACACUUUGUCUUGUACGCUACUCAAACCGCUCGUUUUACGGAUCGCUCGAUAUGGAAAUUAUACGACAUGACUACAAUACCAGAGAUUAUCAACCUAACGGGACGGAUUUCGAUAUGACAUGGGAAGCUUUGAUGGUUGGUGUGAUAGAAGAUGUUUCUUCUACGAACUACGCGGCUGGAAGACGAACGCUUGAAUUUUCCAACACCAACAUUUACGGUUUUAUGCAAUGCAGUAGAGACAUAUCUCCUCAAAACUGCACCCGGUGUCUACAACAAAAUGUGAUUGAUUAUAGGUCAUGUUGCCGUGGGAGACAAGGAGGUACUGUUUCGAGGCCGAGCUGUUUCCUUCGAUGGGAGAUUUUUGCCUUCUUGGGACUUCCCGAAAACAUUCCUCCUCCUGAAAAGGGUAAGACCAUGUUUUAUAAUCUUUGUUGUUAUCAGGUCAUAUGAUUUUUUUAGCCCAUAUCUAAACCAUGUUUGAAGUUUAAUCUUAUCUGUUAUGUUCUUUUUUUUUCUGUGUUAGUUCUUAUUCUGUGAUUUGGGUUCGUGCAGAUGAGAAAAGUAUUUCUACAGGAGCUAUUGUGGCAAUUGUAAUUGUUCCUAUCAUAUUGCUUGCUCUAGGAUUUGGAAUUUGGAGGAAGAGAAAAUCGUAUAAAGCAUUUACAACUGAAAGUGAGUUUCCUCAUGUUUUUGUACAAAGACAGAUUUUCAAAACACAAGUAGAUUCAAUACGUUUUUUACUCUUCUAUGUUCUUGUCAGACGGUUAUUUCUCUGCUGCAAAGAGAUUAACAAAGACUUACAAUACUGCACCGCCAGAUAAGGGUAAAGAGAUACGAAGUUGAUAUAGAAAUAUAGUGACCCUUGGAAACUCUCCAGUUAUGUGUAAAUGCUUUUCUUUUCUUUUUUGCAGCUGGGGAUGAUAUUUCAACUUCAGGUUCACUUCAAUUCUAUUUUAAAGCUAUCGAGGCUGCAACAAGUAAUUUUCACAACAUUAACAAGCUUGGUCAUGGUGGAUUUGGUGAAGUUUACAAGGUAUAGUGUUUGUACUAGAAACUUGACGAGAAAGCAAACAAAUAUAUUCUGAUAAAUUAUGAGACGUGCAGGGAACGUUUCCGAAUGGAACAGAGAUUGCUGUGAAGAGACUAUCUAAAACUUCAGGACAAGGUGAAAGAGAAUUCAAGAACGAGGUGCUUCUUGUAGCUAAACUUCAACAUAGAAAUCUUGUUAGGCUUCUUGGGUUUUGUGUCCAAGGAGAGGAAAGGAUAUUAGUCUACGAGUUUUUGCCCAACAAGAGUCUUAACUACUUCCUCUUUGGUGGUAAGUAAAAUAAGAACAAAUGAUAGGCUUAUUAUUCUCUGAAACCUUAGUUCUUAAUCUCAUCAUAGUCUAAUUGGUCAAUGAGGCAUGUGCAGAUUCAACAAAGAGGAGCCAAUUAGAUUGGACAAGACGGUACAAGAUCAUUGAAGGGAUCACUCGAGGAAUUUUGUAUCUUCAUCAAGAUUCACGGCUUACAAUCAUACACCGUGAUCUAAAAGCCAGCAAUAUUUUAUUAGAUGCAGAUAUGAACCCAAAAAUUGCGGAUUUUGGUAUGGCUAGGAAUUUCAGAAUGGACCAAACGGAAGAUAACACAGGAAGAGUAGUUGGAACAUUGUAAGUAUUUGUCCAGUUUAGUUAUAAUCUGUAACUCUUUAUUGUUUUUGAUAAGUUAUAUGGGAUGUGUUUUUCAGCGGUUACAUGCCGCCGGAAUAUGUUGCGAAUGGGCAGUUCUCGACUAAGUCUGAUGUGUAUAGUUUUGGAGUAUUGAUUCUGGAGAUUAUUGGUGGAAAAAAGAAUAGUAGCUUCCACGAGAUAGAUGGUUCAACAGGCAACUUGGUUACAUAUGUUAGUAAAUUUCCACACUAUCUCACAGUUUGCUACUUCAUUUAUAGUAAUAAUUAUUGCUCUGAACACUAGUUUCCUGGAAAACGAAUAAACAGGUAUGGAGGCUUUGGAACAAUGAUUCAUUGUUGGAACUCGUAGAUCCGGUCAUAGGAGAUAACUAUGAUAAGUAUGAAGUCAUCAGAUGCGUCCAUAUUGGGUUAUUAUGUGUUCAAGAAAAUCCAACAGAUCGUCCAAGCAUGUUCACAAUAUUUAAGAUGCUCACUAAUACUUCAAUUACACUGCCUGUGCCCCAACCUCCUGGGUUUUUCUUCAGAGUCAGAUCAGAGGAUCUCCCAUUAGCUGAGAGCUUUCAGCCUGGUCCGUCCACUAGCAUGUCCAUUGCUUGUUCUGUAAAUGAUGUAUCGAUCACGUGUGUUAGUCCUCGUUGAAGGCCAGGCUAUUUUUGAGAAGUAUUAAGUAAUAUAACGCAUAUAUUCUUUCAUAAACAGAUUUUUAAUGAAUCUUGAGAAGACUUAAAGAAAUGAAGAGCUCUGUAUUAGUUUCAUCUUCUUUAUAAGCUUGACUUUGAUACGUUGCAGCAAGUGUAUUUCCGCAAGCAUAUGAAGAAGAGUGGAGACAGCGCAGAGACAGUAGUCGCAGAGGGAGAGCAAAUGAAUGAGGAAGUAACGAGCAAAGCCUCGGAGUGAGAGAGAGACUUUGCGAGUGGGAAAUAAUGAAUCGAAGCCUUGGAGUGUGAGAGAGACUUUGCGGUUUUAAUAUCUCUUUAUAAAUAUAGGAAUAAAGCUCACACUUUCCUUAUGUUGAGUAUUGUGAGAAGUGGCGUAUGUGUCCUUCAGGGUGAUCGUGUGUGAUCAUCGUUACUUCCUUGUAAUCGAUACUGGGUAUUUGGGGUUUAUCAUAAUCAAAGUAUUAUUCAGUAUUCUGGUGUGGGAGAUUUACAAGGGGGUUGAGUGUAACGAGAGAUCAUAACAACAAACUUAACAAAUUGGUGCGUUUGUGACUCGAUCGAAACUUCGCUGUGUCUUCGAGGGCGGAUUCUAGUCUGAUGUUACGUUCUUACGACGAUUCCACCGGCGAUCAUGAGUUGGCUUUUCUUCGCACGGAGUGGGAACGUUUGGCGCAUCACGCCGAAGUUACGGCGGCUCGUUUUACAGAGAUGGAUAAGCGCCUUGCGGCGUACGAUUCUCGUUUUGAUUCCAUUGAUCGUCGCUUCGAUCAGCUGACGACGAUCCUCCUUCGUAUGGAGAGUGACCAGCUACCGUAGAAAGCUCAAGGAAAGGCGAUCACCUCGCCAAGCGAUUCUCCAGAUCCAGCGACGAUGUCGUCGUCUCGAUCGCAUCUCGAUCAUCGUCCUCCUGGGUUUGGUGUUCCGCCGUCGGUCUUUGAGACCCGUGAAGGGUUGUUGAAGAAGCUCGAGAUGCUUGUUUUCUCUGGAUCUAACCCAUUUGGUUGGAUUGCUCAGGUUGAACGUUACUUUUGUUUUGGUCAGUUUCAUGGGCUCGAGCGGUUGCAGAUGGUUUCGAUGAGUUUGGAGGGUCCGGUCCUGAACUGGUUUAAUGCGGAAACAGAGAAUGAUCCUUUCACGGACUGGCAUCAGUUCAAGUGCCGUUUGGUAGCACGUUUUCGACGAGGAAUGGAGGAGGAGCCGGGAAAACGUCUGGUCUCGCUUCGCCAGACCGGUUCUAUUGCUGAUUACUUAAUGAGUUUGAGGAGUUGCGUUCUAUUGUCACGGGUGUUGAUGAGCAGAAUCUGGUUCAUGUGUUCUUUAAUUGGUUGAAACCAGAGUUUCAGGAGGUCAUCAAGAUGAAAGAACCGCAAGGGUUAACUCAACAUAUAGCAGCGGUUAUUGGUAUGGAGGGUAGUGCGUUCUGCAAGUCAGUCAGCUUGGCAGCUCAGAAAGAUGGAGGGGUUUCUCGCGGGCUGUUUUCUCAGGGAUCUAAAGGCACGGGUUUUGGGUCUCAGUCAGGGUACAAAGGGGCUCCACCGGUUGCUAACAGACAGGCUACGGGUACUUCUUUCACACCACGGUUGAAGUAUACUCCAGCCGAGUUGGAUGCUAUGAGGAGGGAUAAUAUCUUUUUCAAAUGUAAGGGUCCUUACUCGAAGACGCACAUUUGUCCUAAGAAGGAGCUUCACAUUUUGACAGUGAUUAACGGGUAUGAUGUGGAAAUUUUGGAUGAAGGAGACGCUGCAGUUGACGUCACUAUGAACACUGAUCAGGUGGAGCUGUCUCUUAAUGCGUUUUUGGGUAUUGAUACUCCUACUACUACUAAGCUUAUGGGGGUUUUUGGUAAUGUUGGCGCUGUGGUGAUGAUUGAUAGUGGAGCCACCCAUAAUUUCGUUUCUCCUCGGGUGGUGGAGGCGGCGAAGCUUCAGUUGGCUACAGACAUGCGUUUUCAGGUGCUAUUAGGCACUGGAGUUACGGUGGAAGCACUCGGAGUUUGUCGAGGAAUCACUUUCUCUCUGCAAGAUAACUUCUUUCAGAGUGAUUUUGUUUCUUUGGAAUUGGGUAAUCUGGAUGUUUUCUUGGGGGUGCAGUGGCUGCGCUGUUUGGGAAAGUGUUUAGUGGAUUGAGAGCUUCAAGAGUGGUCCUUUCAGUACUGUGGACGAACCGUAACCUUGCGUGGCGACCCUUCGCUCACGAAGACUGCUGCCUCAUUGAAAGCUCUUCAAGUUUCGGUGUUUACUGAUGCUUUGGAGCUCGGAACAGCGGCAGUAACAGACUCUGUCAUGAUCCCAUCUAUCUCUGCAGUGUUGGAUGACUUUCAAGAUGUGUUUGCGGUUCCGUCUGGAUUACCUCCUAUUCGGGGCCGUGAGCAUACAAUUCACUUACAACCCGGAGUUACUGCGAUCUCGGUGCGACCAUACCGUUACCCUCACGCAAGCAAGGAGGCGAUGGAAGCUAUGGUCACUGAGAUGCUGCAGAGUGGCAUCAUUCGACCCAGUCAAAGCCCUUUUUCAAGUCCUGUGUUGUUGGUGAGGAAGAAGGACAAGACGUGGCAUUUUUGUGUGGACUAUCGGGCAGUAAAUCGCGUCACCAUUCCGGACAAGUAUCCUAUUCCGAUGAUUGAUCAGUUAUUGGAUGAACUUCAUGGAGCUCGCAUGUUCUCAAAGAUUGAUUUACGUUCCGGUUAUCAUCAGAUUCAGAUGCGAGAGGAGGAUAUUCCGAAGACAGCUUUUCGAACUCACGAAGGCCAUUACGAGUUUUUGGUUAUGCCUUUUGGCCUCACCAACGCCCCGGCGACGUUUCAGGCCUUAAUGAAUGAGAUUUUUCGACCUUAUCUUCGUCGCUUCGUGCUGGUCUUCUUCGAUGAUAUCUUGAUCUAUAGCAAGUCCAUUGAAGAACACGAAGAACACUUGGCUGUGGUGCUACAGGUGCUGCGGGAACAAGCCUUGUUCGCUAACCGCAAGAAGUGUACAUUUGGCCAAGUGCAGGUUGAUUACUUGGGCCACAUCAUCUCGGCUGAAGGCGUGUCAACGGACCCUGCCAAGACUGACGGCAUGCGCAAAUGGCCUAUUCCACGAUCAGUCAAAGAUCUGUGCGGGUUCCUUGGCCUCACGGGCUAUUACCGCCAUUUUGUUAAAGACUAUGGGAUCUUGGCACGACCUCUGACUUCCUUACUACGUAAAGAUCAGUUCUGUUGGUCAGUUAAGGCUGAGGAAGCUUUUGCAGCUCUCAAGCACGCGAUGAUGACUACACCGGUACUCACAUUGCCAGACUUCACUCAGUUGUUCGUGGUGGAGACGGAUGCUUCGGGUUUUGGCUUGGGCGCUGUCCCCAAGCAGAACAAACGCCCUGUGGCAUAUUUCAGUCACAGUCUCACUCCCCGUGAACAGCUCAAACCUAUCUACGAGAGGGAGCUCAUGGCAAUUGUUCUAGCAGUCAUCAAAUAGAAGCAUUAUCUGACUGGUCGUCGUUUCGUGGUUCACACGGAUCAGCGCAGCCUGAAGUUUUUGCUCGAGCAACGCGAAGUAUCUAUGGAAUAUCAGCGUUGGCUCACACGUUUGAUGGGUUUCCAGUUUGACAUCAUCUACAAACCUGGGAUUGAAAACAAAGCAGCCGACGGUCUCUCGCGGCAGAUGCAGGAUUCUGUUCCGGAGGCCUGCUCAACCUUGUUCGCAUUAAUGGUUCCGUCUGUCAUUCAACUGCAAGAUAUUUUGGUAAUAGGUUUUUCUGCCUAUUGCAAAUGUUGUAGUAUAGGGGGGUGAAUGUCGAACCAGUCCUAGUGAUGUGAAUCAGUGAGAAUACAAGUCAUUUCUUAAGCUAAGCAGAUUCAAUAGUUGUGAGUGUGUGACAAGUAACAAUAGCAAACAGAGCAAUACAACAAGGUUUUAAUCAAUUUAGACAAGUGAAUCCAUGGGUAUUGGGAAUUGACUUCAAGUAACUAAGAUCCAAUCUAGGUGACAAGCUUUCAAUCAAAGUAAUCUCUUAAGUCUAAACACAAUUUUAGACAAGUCCUAUGUCUAGGUAAAUGUCCAUUUGCUUAGAAAUCAUUAAACAUCAAAUGUCUUUGGCUUAAUUCAAUCAAGCAAUCUUUAAGUUCAAGUUUAAUAACUAUCUAGCAAUUUUAACAUCAAGUGUCCUUGGCUAAUCUCACUAGAGCUUAGUUGAGUUGAUUCAAACACUUCAUCUAAUCAUGUCUGAUGAGAAGUGUUUAGAAAUCAGGUUUAGAGUGAUCAAGACUAAACAAGCAUUAAAAAUACUCAACAAGCAAGUUCAUACAAGGAUCUAAUACAAUAACACCAUAGAUCUUCACUAAGUUACUCUAAUCUCCCUAACCCAUGAAUUCCUUAUGCUGCUGGAUUUAAUUUGUCCAGUUUAGCUUUUUUAUGUCAUCUAAUACUUGUUGGAGUUUGGUCAAUGAAGAAAAAAAGGAAAAUUUAAAAAACGAAUUUUUAAAUAGAAUUGAAGCUUUAGAUAAAAAAGGGUCUAUUGAAAAUAUACUGGAAAAAACAACUCGAUUUUGUCAUAACGAAACUCAAAAAGAAUAUUUACCUAAAAUUUAUGAUCCAUUUUUACAUGGGAUUUCGCGCGGAAGAAUCAAAAAAUUAUCUCCGUUCCAAAUCAUAACCAAAACCUAUAAAAAAAAGAAUAUAAGAGGAUCUUGGAUAAACAAAAUUCAUGCUAUACUUCUGAAGAUUAAUUCUCAAAAAUUUGAGCAAACAAUAGAAAAAUUUAAAAGAAAGUCUUUAUCAAUAGAGAAAAAACUUUAUUUUUUUUCCGAACCCCAAGAAGAAAAAAUUCAGUCAGAAGAAGAAAUAAAAAUUUUCAAAAUUUUAUUUGAUGUCGUUAUAAUUUAUAAUAAUGAUCAAACUCUUAUAAAAAAUUUUAUUGAUUUCCAUGAAAUCAAUAAACAAGUUCCUCAAUGGUCAUACAAAUUAACAAGUGAAUUGGAAGAAUUGGAAGCUGAAACUGAAGAAAAUAUACCAACCGAACCUGGAAUUCGUUCAAGAAAAGCAAAACGUGUAGUGGUUUUUACUGAUUUAAAAGAACCGCAUAACGAGAUUUAUACUAAUCUCAAAGAUAAUCAAAAUUCUGAUCAAACAGAUGAAAUGGCUUUGAUCCGUUAUUCACAACAAUCUGAUUUUCGUCGAGAGAUAAUUAAAGGAUCCAUGCGUUCCCAAAGGCGUAAAACUGUUAUUUGGGAAUUUUUGCAAGCAAAAGCACAUUCGCCCCC